RNAcentral lists this ribosomal RNA (492 nucleotides) under uncultured bacterium. RNAcentral describes it as "partial 16S ribosomal RNA". It matches the Rfam family "Bacterial small subunit ribosomal RNA", at positions 29 to 507 of the family's 1533-position model. The record is from RNAcentral.
AGUGAACGCUGGCGGUAGGCCUAACACAUGCAAGUCGAACGGCAGCACAGUAAGAGCUUGCUCUUACGGGUGGCGAGUGGCGGACGGGUGAGGAAUACAUCGGAAUCUACUUUUUCGUGGGGGAUAACGUAGGGAAACUUACGCUAAUACCGCAUACGACCUACGGGUGAAAGCAGGGGAUCUUCGGACCUUGCGCGAUUGAAUGAGCCGAUGUCGGAUUAGCUAGUUGGCGGGGUAAAGGCCCACCAAGGCGACGAUCCGUAGCUGGUCUGAGAGGAUGAUCAGCCACACUGGAACUGAGACACGGUCCAGACUCCUACGGGAGGCAGCAGUGGGGAAUAUUGGACAAUGGGCGCAAGCCUGAUCCAGCCAUGCCGCGUGGGUGAAGAAGGCCUUCGGGUUGUAAAGCCCUUUUGUUGGGAAAGAAAAGCAGCAGGUUAAUACCCCGCUGUUCUGACGGUACCAAAAGAAUAAGCACCGGCUAACUUCGUG